GAUGAACGCUGGCGGCGUGCCUAAUACAUGCAAGUCGAGCGAACAGAUGAGGAGCUUGCUCCUCUGACGUUAGCGGCGGACGGGUGAGUAACACGUGGAUAACCUACCUAUAAGACUGGGAUAACUUCGGGAAACCGGAGCUAAUACCGGAUAAUAUAUUGAACCGCAUGGUUCAAUAGUGAGAGACGGUUUUGCUGUCACUUAUAGAUGGAUCCGCGCCGCAUUAGCUAGUUGGUAAGGUAACGGCUUACCAAGGCAACGAUGCGUAGCCGACCUGAGAGGGUGAUCGGCCACACUGGAACUGAGACACGGUCCAGACUCCUACGGGAGGCAGCAGUAGGGAAUCUUCCGCAAUGGGCGAAAGCCUGACAGAGCAACGCCGCGUGAGUGAUGAAGGUCUUCGGAUCGUAAAACUCUGUUAUUAGGGAAGAACAAAUGUGUAAGUAACUAUGCACGUCUUGACGGUACCUAAUCAGAAAGCCACGGCUAACUACGUG
Molecule: ribosomal RNA, 497 nt
Filed under: uncultured bacterium
Lineage: Bacteria
Description: partial 16S ribosomal RNA
Rfam family: Bacterial small subunit ribosomal RNA
Source: RNAcentral